UUCGGCCCUGCGCAGAAAGGUGGCCUAUGCUUGCAAGCCACCGCUCCUGGAGGGUCCGCGUCUGAUUAGCUAGUUGGCGGGGUAAUGGCCCACCAAGGCGACGAUCAGUAGCCGGCCUGAGAGGGUGAUCGGCCACACUGGAACUGAGACACGGUCCAGACUCCUACGGGAGGCAGCAGUGGGGAAUAUUGGACAAUGGGGGAAACCCUGAUCCAGCAACGCCGCGUGGAGGAUGAAGGUCUUCGGAUUGUAAACUCCUGUUAGGGGGGACGAAGGGAUGUCGGCAAACAGCCGGCAAACUUGACGGUACCCCCAGAGGAAGCCCCGGCUAACUCUGUGCCAGCAGCCGCGGUAAUACAGAGGGGGCAAGCGUUAUUCGGAAUUAUUGGGCGUAAAGGGCGCGUAGGCGGCCUUGUAAGUCUUGGGUGAAAUCCCUCAGCUCAACUGAGGAACUGCCUCGGAAACUGCAAGGCUUGAGGCCGGGAGAGGGUAGUGGAAUUCCCAGUGUAGCGGUGAAAUGCGUAGAUAUUGGGAG
This 535-nucleotide ribosomal RNA is filed under the name uncultured bacterium. RNAcentral describes it as "bacterial SSU rRNA". It matches the Rfam family "Bacterial small subunit ribosomal RNA", at positions 188 to 703 of the family's 1533-position model. The record is from RNAcentral.